This is a long non-coding RNA of Acipenser ruthenus (sterlet), 859 nucleotides long. RefSeq lists it as uncharacterized. The record is from RefSeq and is a predicted model, not a curated record. The transcript has 3 exons. NCBI's taxonomy places the organism in Eukaryota, Metazoa, Chordata, Actinopteri, Acipenseriformes, Acipenseridae.
GCUCGGGCCGUGGCUUGGCUGACAGGGAGUCCCUGAUUGGCUAAGGGUCGUACCACAGGGAGCCUACAGCCAGUUCAAAAAGCAGCUGCGCCACAGCUCUUGGCUGCUGCUAGGCCAUGUGCACACAGACCGGUGCUGCGCUGACGCUCCCACGCCACCAUGGGGGAGAGCGUCCAGGAGGAAAAUGACUGCUACGGACCCUUCAACUCCCAGACGGAUUCUGUGAAGGCGCUGCCCAUAUCCCAUACCUAAUGUUGUUGGUGGUCGUCUUCUCUUUCAGGGAACCAGGGUUAUGCCCACUAUAGCGUUUCUACAUCCCAUUGAGAACCAUAAAACCAGGGGUACAGCCACUGAUUGAAGACACCUAUUAAACUUGAAGGAUGGAGGAUUUCCAGGGCCAGGGUUGAACGUGAAUCAGAGACCUUGGCUAACAUGGCUGUGUUGUGUUUUAAAAUCCACCACUGAAAGUCAGUCAACAGGUGCUACUCACCGAACUGUUAAAUUCAUCGAUGAGCCACCAGACUCACCGGGAUAAAAAGCUGUGGAGAUUCACCAUAAACAACAUGGACGCCUCCAUGGAAUCUGUGAGCAUGGACCGGGGGGAGACUAAAUGAAAUAAUUUAGUGGACUCUGAGGCCGCAAAUCGUUUGGAAAUGGCAAGUAACAGAAGUCCCACCGAAGCCCAUUGAUUUUUAGCUUCAAUUUAAGUUUUCAAAUUAAAAAGUAAAGACAUGUAGAAUUUAAGUUGAUGUAUAGAUUACACUAUUAUGAUUUAAUCUUGGUGUUUAAUGUCAAAGCGAUUUAAGUUGAUUCAUUUUUUAAAAAUAAAACUAUAAAAAAAAAAUUAACAAAAAAACAU